Molecule: ribosomal RNA, 551 nt
Filed under: uncultured bacterium
Lineage: Bacteria
Description: bacterial SSU rRNA
Rfam family: Bacterial small subunit ribosomal RNA
Source: RNAcentral
UAGGGAAUCUUCGGCAAUGGACGGAAGUCUGACCGAGCAACGCCGCGUGAGUGAAGAAGGUUUUCGGAUCGUAAAGCUCUGUUGUAAGAGAAGAACGAGUGUGAGAGUGGAAAGUUCACACUGUGACGGUAUCUUACCAGAAAGGGACGGCUAACUACGUGCCAGCAGCCGCGGUAAUACGUAGGUCCCGNGCGGUUGUCCGGAUUUAUUGGGCGUAAAGCGAGCGCAGGCGGUUAGAUAAGUCUGAAGUUAAAGGCUGUGGCUUAACCAUAGUACGCUUUGGAAACUGUUUAACUUGAGUGCAAGAGGGGAGAGUGGAAUUCCAUGUGUAGCGGUGAAAUGCGUAGAUAUAUGGAGGAACACCGGUGGCGAAAGCGGCUCUCUGGCUUGUAACUGACGCUGAGGCUCGAAAGCGUGGGGAGCAAACAGGAUUAGAUACCCUGGUAGUCCACGCCGUAAACGAUGAGUGCUAGGUGUUAGACCCUUUCCGGGGUUUAGUGCCGUAGCUAACGCAUUAAGCACUCCGCCUGGGGAGUACGACCGCAAGGUUG